CAGACAGUUAAGCCAAGUAUUAAAAGAGUGAUCCUAGCUUUUUGCAUCAGUGAAUAGCUCAGCUAAAGCAGCGCACAUUUGCUGGUGUUCCCUAGGUUUGUUGCUGGGUGGCUUCCAGACAGACGUUGGAUCCAAAGCUGAACUCUCCCUCUGAAAACACGGUUGUUUUUUCAUAAUAGAGCUCAAGCUACAGCCAGACGAGCAGGCUGAAACCUAAUAUGAGCUUUUGCUGCCUGCAGUUUAGGAUGGGUUGUUUCUAGUUUCAGUUCACAUCUAUUCAAUAUGUGUAGAACUAUUAAAACCCUGGGUGUUGCCUCAUCUUCAACAUCCAUAAGGCCAUCUCAAGCAUGCUGACGUACCUACUCUUCCUGGUCUCCAGCUUGCUUCUCCGAACUCUCAUCUUAGUUUCUUCCCAGUCAUGGCUUUGUAAUGAACUCCAUAGUGCCUUCAGAUUGUGGAUGCUAUGGGCAGAGUGUCUCCUUGGGCUGCUGAGUUCUGCUGAAAGCUGCAGGAAACAAAGACUUCUUGCAGCAAAAGCCAAGUGUAAAAAACAUCUGCAGCUAAGGAGAUGGGAUGCUACAAAUAGUCCCAGCUUUCUGUAA
Molecule: long non-coding RNA, 602 nt
Filed under: Anas platyrhynchos platyrhynchos (common mallard)
Lineage: Eukaryota; Metazoa; Chordata; Aves; Anseriformes; Anatidae
Description: lncRNA (ENSAPLG00000017249.1)
Source: RNAcentral